GCACCCGUAGCUCAGUUGUCAGCGGUGGAAUGGUGAUCUACAGUCUCGGGUUCAAGUCCCGGCGGACGCU
Phthorimaea operculella (potato tuberworm) is the source of this 70-nucleotide non-coding RNA. The record is from the annotation of a GenBank genome assembly. Lineage: Eukaryota; Metazoa; Arthropoda; Insecta; Lepidoptera; Gelechiidae.